AAUAGAUACCCUGGUAGUCCACGCCGUAAACGAUGAGUGCUAAGUGUUAGAGGGUUUCCGCCCUUUAGUGCUGAAGUUAACGCAUUAAGCACUCCGCCUGGGGAGUACGGCCGCAAGGCUGAAACUCAAAGGAAUUGACGGGGGCCCGCACAAGCGGUGGAGCAUGUGGUUUAAUUCGAAGCAACGCGAAGAACCUUACCAGGUCUUGACAUCCUCUGACAACCCUAGAGAUAGGGCUUCUCCUUCGGGAGCAGAGUGGCAGGUGGUGCAUGGUUGUCGUCAGCUCGUGUCGUGAGAUGUUGGGUUAAGUCCCGCAACGAGCGCAACCCUUGAUCUUAGUUGCCAUCAUUAAGUUGGGCACUCUAAGGUGACUGCCGGUGACAAACCAGAGGAAGGUGGGGAUGACGUCAAAUCAUCAUGCCCCUUAUGACCUGGGCUACACACGUGCUACAAUGGACGGUACAAAGAGCUGCAAGACCGCGAGGUGGAGCUAAUCUCAUAAAACCGUUCUCAGUUCGGA
RNAcentral lists this ribosomal RNA (520 nucleotides) under uncultured bacterium. RNAcentral describes it as "bacterial SSU rRNA". It matches the Rfam family "Bacterial small subunit ribosomal RNA", at positions 777 to 1297 of the family's 1533-position model. The record is from RNAcentral.